Molecule: ribosomal RNA, 2898 nt
Filed under: Klebsiella pneumoniae
Lineage: Bacteria; Pseudomonadati; Pseudomonadota; Gammaproteobacteria; Enterobacterales; Enterobacteriaceae
Description: bacterial LSU rRNA
Rfam family: Bacterial large subunit ribosomal RNA
Source: RNAcentral
UUAAGCGACUAAGCGUACACGGUGGAUGCCCUGGCAGUCAGAGGCGAUGAAGGACGUGCUAAUCUGCGAAAAGCGUCGGUAAGGUGAUAUGAACCGUUAUAACCGGCGAUGUCCGAAUGGGGAAACCCAGUGCAAUUCGUUGCACUAUCGUUAACUGAAUACAUAGGUUAACGAGGCGAACCGGGGGAACUGAAACAUCUAAGUACCCCGAGGAAAAGAAAUCAACCGAGAUUCCCCCAGUAGCGGCGAGCGAACGGGGAGCAGCCCAGAGUCUGAAUCAGCUUGUGUGUUAGUGGAACGGUCUGGAAAGUCCGACGGUACAGGGUGAUAGUCCCGUACACCAAAAUGCACAGGCUGUGAACUCGAAGAGUAGGGCGGGACACGUGGUAUCCUGUCUGAAUAUGGGGGGACCAUCCUCCAAGGCUAAAUACUCCUGACUGACCGAUAGUGAACCAGUACCGUGAGGGAAAGGCGAAAAGAACCCCGGCGAGGGGAGUGAAAAAGAACCUGAAACCGUGUACGUACAAGCAGUGGGAGCACCUUCGGGUGUGACUGCGUACCUUUUGUAUAAUGGGUCAGCGACUUAUAUUCUGUAGCAAGGUUAACCGUAUAGGGGAGCCGCAGGGAAACCGAGUCUUAACUGGGCGUUAAGUUGCAGGGUAUAGACCCGAAACCCGGUGAUCUAGCCAUGGGCAGGUUGAAGGUUGGGUAACACUAACUGGAGGACCGAACCGACUAAUGUUGAAAAAUUAGCGGAUGACUUGUGGCUGGGGGUGAAAGGCCAAUCAAACCGGGAGAUAGCUGGUUCUCCCCGAAAGCUAUUUAGGUAGCGCCUCGUGAAUUCAUCUUCGGGGGUAGAGCACUGUUUCGGCUAGGGGUCAUCCCGACUUACCAACCCGAUGCAAACUACGAAUACCGAAGAAUGUUAUCACGGGAGACACACGGCGGGUGCUAACGUCCGUCGUGAAGAGGGAAACAACCCAGACCGCCAGCUAAGGUCCCAAAGUCAUGGUUAAGUGGGAAACGAUGUGGGAAGGCACAGACAGCCAGGAUGUUGGCUUAGAAGCAGCCAUCAUUUAAAGAAAGCGUAAUAGCUCACUGGUCGAGUCGGCCUGCGCGGAAGAUGUAACGGGGCUAAACCAUGCACCGAAGCUGCGGCAGCGACACUAUGUGUUGUUGGGUAGGGGAGCGUUCUGUAAGCCUGCGAAGGUGACCUGUGAGGGUUGCUGGAGGUAUCAGAAGUGCGAAUGCUGACAUAAGUAACGAUAAAGCGGGUGAAAAGCCCGCUCGCCGGAAGACCAAGGGUUCCUGUCCAACGUUAAUCGGGGCAGGGUGAGUCGACCCCUAAGGCGAGGCCGAAAGGCGUAGUCGAUGGGAAACAGGUUAAUAUUCCUGUACUUGGUGUUACUGCGAAGGGGGGACGGAGAAGGCUAUGUUAGCCGGGCGACGGUUGUCCCGGUUUAAGCAUGUAGGCUGGUUAUCCAGGCAAAUCCGGAUAAUCAAGGCUGAGGUGUGAUGACGAGGCACUACGGUGCUGAAGUAACAAAUGCCCUGCUUCCAGGAAAAGCCUCUAAGCAUCAGGUAACAUCAAAUCGUACCCCAAACCGACACAGGUGGUCAGGUAGAGAAUACCAAGGCGCUUGAGAGAACUCGGGUGAAGGAACUAGGCAAAAUGGUGCCGUAACUUCGGGAGAAGGCACGCUGGUGUGUAGGUGAAGCCCCUGCGGGUGGAGCUGAGACCAGUCGAAGAUACCAGCUGGCUGCAACUGUUUAUUAAAAACACAGCACUGUGCAAACACGAAAGUGGACGUAUACGGUGUGACGCCUGCCCGGUGCCGGAAGGUUAAUUGAUGGGGUUAUCCGUAAGGAGAAGCUCUUGAUCGAAGCCCCGGUAAACGGCGGCCGUAACUAUAACGGUCCUAAGGUAGCGAAAUUCCUUGUCGGGUAAGUUCCGACCUGCACGAAUGGCGUAAUGAUGGCCAGGCUGUCUCCACCGAGACUCAGUGAAAUUGAACUCGCUGUGAAGAUGCAGUGUACCCGCGGCAAGACGGAAAGACCCCGUGAACCUUUACUAUAGCUUGACACUGAACAUUGAGCCUUGAUGUGUAGGAUAGGUGGGAGGCUUUGAAGCGUGGACGCCAGUCUGCGUGGAGCCAACCUUGAAAUACCACCCUUUAAUGUUUGAUGUUCUAACGUUGGCCCCUGACCGGGGUUGCGGACAGUGUCUGGUGGGUAGUUUGACUGGGGCGGUCUCCUCCCAAAGCGUAACGGAGGAGCACGAAGGUUAGCUAAUCCUGGUCGGACAUCAGGAGGUUAGUGCAAUGGCAUAAGCUAGCUUGACUGCGAGCGUGACGGCGCGAGCAGGUGCGAAAGCAGGUCAUAGUGAUCCGGUGGUUCUGAAUGGAAGGGCCAUCGCUCAACGGAUAAAAGGUACUCCGGGGAUAACAGGCUGAUACCGCCCAAGAGUUCAUAUCGACGGCGGUGUUUGGCACCUCGAUGUCGGCUCAUCACAUCCUGGGGCUGAAGUAGGUCCCAAGGGUAUGGCUGUUCGCCAUUUAAAGUGGUACGCGAGCUGGGUUUAGAACGUCGUGAGACAGUUCGGUCCCUAUCUGCCGUGGGCGCUGGAGAAUUGAGGGGGGCUGCUCCUAGUACGAGAGGACCGGAGUGGACGCAUCACUGGUGUUCGGGUUGUCAUGCCAAUGGCACUGCCCGGUAGCUAAAUGCGGAAGAGAUAAGUGCUGAAAGCAUCUAAGCACGAAACUUGCCCCGAGAUGAGUUCUCCCUGAGACUUUAAGUCUCCUGAAGGAACGUUGAAGACGAUGACGUUGAUAGGCCGGGUGUGUAAGCGCAGCGAUGCGUUGAGCUAACCGGUACUAAUGAACCGUGAGGCUUAACCUU